Molecule: ribosomal RNA, 422 nt
Filed under: Chrysobrycon myersi
Lineage: Eukaryota; Metazoa; Chordata; Actinopteri; Characiformes; Stevardiidae
Description: partial 12S ribosomal RNA
Rfam family: Bacterial small subunit ribosomal RNA
Source: RNAcentral
GGGAUUAGAUACCCCACUAUGCUUAGCCUUAAACCUAGAUGUUAAACUUACAAGAAACAUCCGCCAGGGUACUACAAGCGCUAGCUUAAAACCCAAAGGACUUGACGGUGUCUCAGACCCACCUAGAGGAGCCUGUUCUAGAACCGAUAAUCCCCGUUAAACCUCACCACCCCUUGUUUUCCCCGCCUAUAUACCGCCGUCGCAAGCUUACCCUGUGAAGGUUCCAUAGUAAGCAAAAUGGGUAGAUCCCAAAACGUCAGGUCGAGGUGUAGCUUACGAGGUGGGAAGAAAUGGGCUACAUUUUCUAUAUCAGAAUAAUACGAACGGCACCAUGAAAUUUAGUGCCCGAAGGUGGAUUUAGUAGUAAAAAACAAAUAGAGAGUCUUUUUGAACCAGGCUCUGAGACGCGCACACACCGCCCC